UACGAAGGGGGCUAGCGUUGUUCGGAAUUACUGGGCGUAAAGCGCGCGCAGGCGGUCCUUCAAGUCAGUGGUGAAAGCCUGGAGCUCAACUCCAGAACUGCCAUUGAAACUGCAAGACUUGAGUACGAGAGAGGUGAGUGGAAUUCCCAGUGUAGAGGUGAAAUUCGUAGAUAUUGGGAAGAACACCGGUGGCGAAGGCGGCUCACUGGCUCGUAACUGACGCUCGGGCGCGACAGCGUGGGGAUCAAACAGG
This 253-nucleotide ribosomal RNA is filed under the name uncultured bacterium. RNAcentral describes it as "partial 16S ribosomal RNA". It matches the Rfam family "Bacterial small subunit ribosomal RNA", at positions 524 to 776 of the family's 1533-position model. The record is from RNAcentral.